UACGAAGGGGGCUAGCGUUGUUCGGAUUUACUGGGCGUAAAGCGCACGUAGGCGGACAUUUAAGUCAGAGGUGAAAUCCCAGGGCUCAACCCUGGAACUGCCUUUGAUACUGGAUGUCUUGAGUAUGGAAGAGGUGAGUGGAAUUCCGAGUGUAGAGGUGAAAUUCGUAGAUAUUCGGAGGAACACCAGUGGCGAAGGCGGCUCACUGGUCCAUUACUGACGCUGAGGUGCGAAAGCGUGGGGAGCAAACAGG
This 253-nucleotide ribosomal RNA is filed under the name uncultured bacterium. Its description in RNAcentral is "partial 16S ribosomal RNA". It matches the Rfam family "Bacterial small subunit ribosomal RNA", at positions 524 to 776 of the family's 1533-position model. The record is from RNAcentral.